CAUUAAGUGGCUGAAAUGGCUAAGCAUUGGUCUCUUAAACCAAAUUAUGGUAAAUUAACAAGUACUCUUAAUGA
This 74-nucleotide transfer RNA is filed under the name Hydarella orientalis. RNAcentral describes it as "tRNA-Lys". It matches the Rfam family "tRNA". From Rfam's summary of the family: Transfer RNA (tRNA) molecules are approximately 80 nucleotides in length. Their secondary structure includes four short double-helical elements and three loops (D, anti-codon, and T loops). Further hydrogen bonds mediate the characteristic L-shaped molecular structure. tRNAs have two regions of fundamental functional importance: the anti-codon, which is responsible for specific mRNA codon recognition, and the 3' end, to which the tRNAs corresponding amino acid is attached (by aminoacyl-tRNA synthetases). tRNAs cope with the degeneracy of the genetic code in two manners: having more than one tRNA (with a specific anti-codon) for a particular amino acid; and 'wobble' base-pairing, i.e. permitting non-standard base-pairing at the 3rd anti-codon position. The record is from RNAcentral. Lineage: Eukaryota; Metazoa; Arthropoda; Insecta; Hemiptera; Coreidae.